CAUUUUGUCUCUCUCUAAAACUCAGUUUCAGAUUUUCUCUAUCUUCUCUCUACCACAAUUCUAUCUUCUCUCUACCAAAUCUCUUCUCUGAACCGUUUAAUCUUCGAUCAGGUGUCGUCAAAACGUCCGCAACGUAGUGGGCUUCGAAACUAACCGAUUCAUUUUGGGUUUUAAGCUGGUUGUAGGGUUUUAUUGAGUUCUUGCGGUGAAGGAACUGUUGGUGUGUUCUUGCGAGCUAUCCAUUCAAGUUACUCUAAGUGAUGGAUGAGGUGCCUCUGGAGCAGGCUUUGGAGGAAGAUGAUGUUGUUGCUUAGUCUCCUUAGGAUUCUAUCAAUUAUUCUUUAUCUUUUGAAAUACUCUAUUAUGUUUAAGUUUUAAAUUAAGACUCAAUUUGGGAUGACUGUAAGCUUAAAACUUUAUUUAUAGUCUACUCUAACUAUUCUCUUUUAUAUAAAUAUGGACUUACU
This is a long non-coding RNA of Vigna angularis (adzuki bean), 467 nucleotides long. RefSeq lists it as uncharacterized. The transcript has 3 exons. Lineage: Eukaryota; Viridiplantae; Streptophyta; Magnoliopsida; Fabales; Fabaceae. The record is from RefSeq and is a predicted model, not a curated record.